AGUGGUCACUGCAUCUACACGCGCCGCCGUCUUGAGACACAUCGGAAGUCUGAAGAUAUGCUGCAUGAUUGACCAAAUUAAUAUAUUUUAUUGUUCUUUUCUCUCCUCCUUUACAUAGAUAAUGGAUCAAGCAUCUGGAAGUGACACAGUUCUCGAUCAUUUGUUGGGCAGACUGGAAGAUAAGCUUGUCAAUUGCUUACUUCGGGCCCCUCUUGACAGAGAUUAUCUUCAGUUUAUGUGUACCCAGGAGAUGGUCAUAAUGUCAGCAUUGUCAAGCCAGAUUGAAGUUCCUCAGGCAGUGUAUGAUCUCCUUGUUGAGCUGCACCGUCUGGUCUCAGACCAAAAUCCUACUCAGUUUCAGAGGAUCGUUCACAUGGAGAGGGGAGAUUUUGGCCGCCCCCGUUUUAUAAUUGAGAGGGACCAUGUGUGUCAGCUUUUGGAAAUGGGACAGUCAGUAAGCUGCAUUGCGACGCUGUUUGGGGUGUCAAGGUGGACCUUGCACAGGCGCAUGACAGACUGGAAUCUUUCCAUGAGACAGAUGUACAGUCAGUUGAGUGAUGCUGAACUUAAUGAUGUGGUUCGCGACAUCCUUUCCCGAAACCAAAAUGCUGGAUACAGAAGAAUGUUGGGCCUGUUAACUGCAAGAGGACAUAGAGUUCAGUGGGCAAGGGUACGUGCAUCUAUGCAUCAAGUGGACACAGCAGGGAUUGUCUCACGAAUAACCCAGUUGGGUUGCAUAGUUCGCAGGACAUACUCUGUUCCAGGGCCCAGAUCACUGGUGCAUAUAGACACCAACCACAAGCUAAUCAGGUACAACAUUGUCAUUUUUGGCGGUAUCGAUGGCUUCUC
Gadus morhua (Atlantic cod) is the source of this 849-nucleotide long non-coding RNA. RefSeq lists it as uncharacterized. The record is from RefSeq and is a predicted model, not a curated record. The transcript is spliced from 3 exons. NCBI's taxonomy places the organism in Eukaryota, Metazoa, Chordata, Actinopteri, Gadiformes, Gadidae.